This 120-nucleotide small RNA is filed under the name Salegentibacter salinarum. Its description in RNAcentral is "6S-Flavo RNA". It matches the Rfam family "6S-Flavo RNA". Lineage: Bacteria; Pseudomonadati; Bacteroidota; Flavobacteriia; Flavobacteriales; Flavobacteriaceae. The record is from RNAcentral.
ACUCAACAGAGAUUCUUUAAAGAGGGUGAGUCUAAGUUGUAAAAGCGCGCCGCUCCCGUUUUUCGGGAUGAGCGGAUUCUUGAUCAGCUUGUUAGCCCUAAACUUGUUUUUAAGGAGUUU